This 779-nucleotide ribosomal RNA is filed under the name Phylloporus nigrobruneus. Its description in RNAcentral is "Phylloporus nigrobrunneus partial large subunit ribosomal RNA". It matches the Rfam family "Eukaryotic large subunit ribosomal RNA", at positions 77 to 845 of the family's 3401-position model. Lineage: Eukaryota; Fungi; Basidiomycota; Agaricomycetes; Boletales; Boletaceae. The record is from RNAcentral.
CCCCUAGUAACUGCGAGUGAAGCGGGAAAAGCUCAAAUUUUAAAUCUGGCGGUCUUCGUGACCGUCCGAGUUGUAAUCUAGAGAAGCGUCUUCCGCGCUGGACCGUGUACAAGUCUCCUGGAAGGGAGCGUCAUAGAGGGUGAGAAUCCCGUCUUUGACACGGACCCCCAAGUGCUAUGUGAUGCGCUCUCGAAGAGUCGAGUUGUUUGGGAAUGCAGCUCAAAAUGGGUGGUAAAUUCCAUCUAAAGCUAAAUACAGGCGAGAGACCGAUAGCGAACAAGUACCGUGAGGGAAAGAUGAAAAGAACUUUGGAAAGAGAGUUAAACAGUACGUGAAAUUGCUGAAAGGGAAACGCUUGAUGUCAGUCGCGUCCGCCAGGGAUCAACCUCGCUUCAUUGCUGGGCGUAUUUCUUGGUCGGACGGGUCAGCAUCAGUUUCCAUCGUCGUACAAUGGCGGAGGGAACGUGGCACCUCUAGGGGUGUGUUAUAGCCUUUCGUCGUAUGCGUCGGUAGGGACUGAGGAACUCGGCACGACCUUUCUCAGGUCUGUGUCUAGGAUGCUGGCAUAAUGGCCUUAAGCGACCCGUCUUGAAACACGGACCAAGGAGUCUAACAUGCCUGCGAGUGUUCGGGUGGUAAAACUCGAGCGCGCAAUCAAAGUGAAAGUCGAGAUCUCUGUCAUGGAGAGCAUCGACGCCCGGACCAGAGUCUUUGACGAAAGAUCUGCGGUAGAGCAUGCAUGUUGGGACCCGAAAGAUGGUGAACUAUGCCUGAUAGGG